This 71-nucleotide transfer RNA is filed under the name Candidatus Colwellbacteria bacterium CG10_big_fil_rev_8_21_14_0_10_42_22. Its description in RNAcentral is "tRNA-Ile". It matches the Rfam family "tRNA". Rfam says of the family: Transfer RNA (tRNA) molecules are approximately 80 nucleotides in length. The record is from RNAcentral. Lineage: Bacteria; Candidatus Colwelliibacteriota.
GGGGGCGUAGCUUAAUGGUAAAGCGAGUAAUUUAUACCUACGAGAAGGGAGUUCAAUUCUCCUCGCCUCCA